UACGUAGGGUGCAAGCGUUGUCCGGAUUUAUUGGGCGUAAAGAGCCCGCAGGCGGCUUGGCAAGUUUGAGGUGAAAUCUCCCGGCUUAACUGGGAGGGGGCCUCGAAAACUGCCAGGCUUGAGGCAUGGAGAGGGAUGCGGAAUUCCCGGUGUAGUGGUGAAAUGCGUAGAUAUCGGGAGGAACACCAGUGGCGAAGGCGGCAUCCUGGCCUGUCCUGACGCUCAGGGGCGAAAGCGUGGGGAGCAAACCGG
RNAcentral lists this ribosomal RNA (252 nucleotides) under uncultured bacterium. RNAcentral's name for it is "partial 16S ribosomal RNA". It matches the Rfam family "Bacterial small subunit ribosomal RNA", at positions 524 to 776 of the family's 1533-position model. The record is from RNAcentral.